This 714-nucleotide long non-coding RNA is filed under the name Bos indicus x Bos taurus (hybrid cattle). RNAcentral's name for it is "lncRNA (ENSBIXG00000012471.1)". Lineage: Eukaryota; Metazoa; Chordata; Mammalia; Artiodactyla; Bovidae. The record is from RNAcentral.
AUGAAAUGCCAAGAGAAGAUGUUUAUUAUUCAUUCUCUCAGGGCUUUGCAUGUUUCAGAAGCUGGCCCUACCCUUCCUCUUGGCUUGUUUGAUCACAAAGCAACCUUGAUAGAACAUCUGUUUCUCCAUCACAAGGCAAUUGAUUCCAGAUGGUAAAGUCCGAUCAUUUAAGAACGAUUGAUGGAGAUAUUUUUUAAAAUGGAUUUGUGUUGGUUCUGGAUUGUGCAUGUUUUGGAAGGUAAGCCAAAGUGUUAAAUUUAAAGUAUUACAUUGAAAUUUGACAGAUAUAUUUUAUGUAUUCCAUUUUUUAAUCUAAAUACUGGAAAGAAAAAAAACCAGAGGUUGCAUUCAUGAAAUACUAGGAUAGAGCAAGUAUUUUUCCAAACUAGUGAACUUUGAAAUGUUGGAAAUUCUGAAGCCAUGAAAAACCCAGACUGAACAUUAAUUUAUUUUAAUCAGUUCCAAAGGAAAAAAUCGCUUGUCCAUAGUGAAGUUUUCACUUGAAAGGAGCUUUUAUAGAGCAAGCUUUUGGUUUCUUAAAUGGUGUCAUAUAGUGACAUGUUGAUUUGGUAUGCAAGAAAAUGGAACGGUGUGGCGGAGUCAUAUACUGUGUAAUGGCGGAGGACUAAGAAGAAAAGAAAAAAGUGAGUUUCAUGUGUAAAUGCUGUGACUGUGCCAUAUGAUGUCCCAGUUCACUCUAUUUAGGAGAUGAUU